AUCUCUUAAGACAAGGCUUGCAUCUAGAAGGUUUAAUAAGUGGACAUAUAUACUCAAUGCUUACUCAAAUUUGCGUAUAAAAAAGCUUAUGAAUUUUAAGGAGAAAGAUGGCUUUUCAUUUUGAUUGGUGAUGAACUGGACUAAUUAUACCACUCACCAGUGGCAUGGAAUCUUUGAGUUAAGGUGAAAAGGGUUGCAUUGGUGAGCUUCUUUUGUAUUUCUCUUGCCUUUCGAAGGGCACGAGACUGAGGAUGUAUACUUUUAU
This is a long non-coding RNA of Quercus lobata, 265 nucleotides long. RefSeq lists it as uncharacterized. The transcript is spliced from 4 exons. The record is from RefSeq and is a predicted model, not a curated record. Lineage: Eukaryota; Viridiplantae; Streptophyta; Magnoliopsida; Fagales; Fagaceae.